This is a long non-coding RNA of Strongylocentrotus purpuratus (purple sea urchin), 447 nucleotides long. RefSeq lists it as uncharacterized. The record is from RefSeq and is a predicted model, not a curated record. The transcript has 3 exons. Lineage: Eukaryota; Metazoa; Echinodermata; Echinoidea; Camarodonta; Strongylocentrotidae.
GCAUCUAUUCUUUUCGAGGGUUACGAGAAGGAAAAUGAAGACAUAUUGAAUUUCAAGCCACGAAAAAGCAAAACAGGGGGCAGAGAUUCCAUAUUCUCGUCUUCACGUCACAGUAAUGGAUCGGAUAAUGGUCGGACGAUUACUGGCAGACUACAAGUUGACCAACGCAGCAGAUUUUUAGAUAAUCUCGCACCAGAGACUAUCCUUAGUGCAGAUCAUGCUGCAGAACCAUUAGAUAUUCUCGAUGUCCACAGUGAAGGUGAUGUCCUUCUCGUUAACGACGACGCUGUCUACACAUGGAACCCUUUGGAGCCCUCAAAAUUCUGCAACCUAUACGAGCCGAACAUUGACAAUGUGAAAAGUGAUUACGUACAAAUCAGCUGCGCGGGAUGGCAUGACAGUGCUAGGUUGAUUGCCACUGGAACAACCUUGACACAGACCCGGGGC